UCCAAUAGCGUAUAUUAAAGUUGUUGCAGUUAAAAAGCUCGUAGUUGAAUUUCGGGAUUAGUACGUUGGUCGUGCCAUGGUACGUACUGGUGUAACUGAUUCCUCCCUUCUGACGAACCGUCAUGCCAUUAAUUUGGUGUGGCGGGAAAUCAGGACUGUUACUUUGAAAAAAUUAGAGUGUUUAAAGCAGGCUCGCGCUUGAAUACAUUAGCAUGGAAUAAUGAAAUAGGACGUUAAUCCUAUUUUGUUGGUUUCUAGGAUCGACGUAAUGAUUAAUAGGGAUAGUUGGGGGCAUUAGUAUUCAAUUGUCAGAGGUGAAAUUCUUGGAUUUAUUGAAGACUAACUACUGCGAAAGCAUUUGCCAAGGAUGUUUUCAUUAAUCAAGAACGAAAGUUAGGGGAUCGAAGACGAUCAGAUACCGUCGUAGUCUUAACCAUAAACUAUGCCGACUAGGGAUCGGAUGAUGUUAAUUUUUUAAUGACUCAUUCGGCGCCUUACGGGAAAC
This 505-nucleotide ribosomal RNA is filed under the name uncultured glomeraceous AM fungus. Its description in RNAcentral is "SSU rRNA". It matches the Rfam family "Eukaryotic small subunit ribosomal RNA", at positions 590 to 1098 of the family's 1831-position model. The record is from RNAcentral. Lineage: Eukaryota; Fungi; Glomeromycota; Glomeromycetes; Glomerales; Glomeraceae.